UACGGAGGGUGCAAGCGUUGUCCGGAUUUAUUGGGUUUAAAGGGUGCGUAGGCGGUUCUUUAAGUCUGGGGUGAAAGCCCGUUGCUCAACAACGGAACUGCCCUGGAAACUGGAGGACUUGAGUACAGACGAGGGUGGCGGAAUGGAUGCUGUAGCGGUGAAAUGCAUAGAUAGCAUCCAGAACCCCGAUUGCGUAGGCAGCUGCCUAGGCGACAUCUGACACUGAGGCACGAAAGCGUGGGGAGCGAACAGG
This 253-nucleotide ribosomal RNA is filed under the name uncultured bacterium. RNAcentral describes it as "partial 16S ribosomal RNA". It matches the Rfam family "Bacterial small subunit ribosomal RNA", at positions 524 to 776 of the family's 1533-position model. The record is from RNAcentral.